Molecule: non-coding RNA, 565 nt
Filed under: Pongo abelii (Sumatran orangutan)
Lineage: Eukaryota; Metazoa; Chordata; Mammalia; Primates; Hominidae
Source: RNAcentral
GAUCCAGAUGUGGCUCGUGUACAGGCUCUCGUACUCCCUGUCAAAGAGAAGAGGGCACAGAGUUACACCAGCCCCUCUGACACAGGCUCAGUUAUGGUUGCAAGUAACUGCCUUCGUUCUCCUACUUUGUACAGCUUAGUGGAGGGAUGUUUUCUUGGCAACAUUUCUGUUCCAACAACUAAAUAACCAACAACUAACUAACCAAACAACCAGCAUGCUUAGCCUGUGCUAGGGGAUGUGGGGACAGCAGAAAAGAUGCCCAGGCCCUGGCCUUCCAGGUCAGUGCUGGAAAGAGAAGUAACCACCUGAAGCUAAAGUACCUGGGGUCAAAGAAGAGAGGUCUUGGAAAGAUGUAGAAGGAAAAACUGAAGAUGGUGCUUCUGGUGGGAAAUUAUAACAAUAAAGGCCAGGAGGAGGAAAUGAAGGUAUAAUAUGCUGACUGUUAAGCCAGCAGCUGCUUGUAGUCCAUAUUUGUUUUUAAGGAGUAGUGAGAAAUAGAGUUAAAUAAAUAUAGGGUGGGGCCUGAAUAUGCUGGGUGAUGAGAGACAACAGAAUUUGGACACCA